GAAUUUCAAGACCCUGACAGCAGAGC
This 26-nucleotide non-coding RNA is filed under the name Homo sapiens (human). Lineage: Eukaryota; Metazoa; Chordata; Mammalia; Primates; Hominidae. The record is from RNAcentral.